This 1002-nucleotide ribosomal RNA is filed under the name Triticum aestivum (bread wheat). RNAcentral's name for it is "partial small subunit ribosomal RNA". Lineage: Eukaryota; Viridiplantae; Streptophyta; Magnoliopsida; Poales; Poaceae. The record is from RNAcentral.
AUGGAUUUUCACUUGGAGCACAAGCAAGGGGAGGAAGGGAAGAAUCGCGGCAGUGCCCCCAGGAGAGGCGUAACACUAGCAGGCAUCACCGCUAUUGAUGCCAAAGUGUUGAGCUUUUGCUUGGUAUAUUCCCCGUCCCAGGCCCCGCCUGCCUCGCCCGCCGCCGUUCGUUUUGCGGGCCGACCCGUCCUUGCCUUCGCUUUGAGGCGGUGUGUUUGCCGUGUCGCCGAGUUGAUCUUUCGGGUGGCCACCUAUUUCCGAUCCUCCACCUCUGUCGUCUCUGUUGCAGCUUGGAAACUUGGACGAGUGAGGACCUCCUAUGGAGAGGGCGACGUAUGCUUCUUUCAUCCAUCCAUGUCGACGGCGCUCCCUCCCUCCGCGUCCGCGUCCGCAUCCGCAUGCAUACAUAUACGAGUGACCUGGGGAUGGAACGGACCGCAUCUUCACUCACCGAGCCACACGCAUGUCAUGGACCCGUUCCACGGCAUACUCAUCGCGGCGGCCAUCCUCGUGCUGUUCCUCAUCUUCGUCGCCUUCCCGCUCAGCUUCCUCCGCUACUACUUCAGCACCAGCGUCGCCGAGGUGCCCGCGCCGAGGGGCGUCGGCACGGAGCUGCUGGGCUCGCUGCCGGUCACGGUGUACCGCACGGAGGACCACGUCGGGGUGCUGGAGUGCGCGGUGUGCCUGGCCGGGCUCCAGGACGGGGAGCAGGCGAGGUUCCUGCCCUGCUGCGGCCACGGGUUCCACGCCGGGUGCAUCAGCGCGUGGCUGGCGUCCCGCCCCACCUGCCCGCUCUGCCGGGUCACCGUCGUCGGCAAGCUUCCCGACGCGCUUACAUCGACGAGUCUCCCUCCCACACCGCAGGAGCCCGCGAAUUACGCCGGGAACCUGCCGGCGAGUGUGCUGAUGCUCGGGGUUUCAGACCAGGCCACGCUCGGCGCGGUGACCGUGGCCUCUGAUGGAGAGGCCGCUCCGCCCUUGCAACGGCAGCGGUGCUGGUGA